This 1120-nucleotide long non-coding RNA is filed under the name Ananas comosus (pineapple). RNAcentral's name for it is "long non-coding RNA (ACOM_LNC008453)". The record is from RNAcentral. Lineage: Eukaryota; Viridiplantae; Streptophyta; Magnoliopsida; Poales; Bromeliaceae.
AAUUUCUAAUAUCAAAAUAUAAUUAAAUAUAUCUAAGCUAUGAAGUCUAAUAAUUUAAAUAUAUUCUGAUUUAAAUUUUAAACCACUAUUAGAGAUUUGAAGCAUGUGGUGUAUGUAAUUAUAUACAUUCAGUAUAAAGAAUGCUUAAUUAUGAACCGGGCUCUUUGAAAAGCUCUUUUUCAUAGUAAAAAAAAAAAGAGGAGAAAUUUUUGCUUGCACCUGAUAUAUACUAAUAUUUCAUACAUUGUAAGUAUAUUAGAUGAUUCAUAAAAUACCUAAUAGUUAGUAUUAUAAAAUAAAAUAUAAAAUAUAGUAUAAUAUAUAUUAUAAAAUAUAAAAUAUUUAGUAAUUUAUUAUAUUAUAGAAAUAUAUUUUUUAUUCACAUUUUAUAUCCGGUCUACGGUGCAAUUGGUGCGUCGAAAAUUUCUAUUGAAUAUGUGGCAUGUUUGUAUUAGCUAAAAGCUACAAUGGAGAGGUGGAAAAAGAAUUCAUACGAUGUGGAGGUGGGAAAAUGUGCCACGUAUACAGAGAAAACCGUCAAAUUAUGUAUUGGUAUGGAUUUUAAACCACUAUUAGAGAUUUGAAGCAUGUGGUGUAUGUAAUUAUAUACAUUCAGUACAGAGAAUGCUUAAUUAUGAAUUGAGCUCUUUGAAAAGCUCUUUUUUAUAGUUCUAAAAAAAAGUGGAGAAAUUUUUUCUUGCACCUGAUAUAUACUAAUAUUUCAUACAUCGUAAGUAUAUUAAAUGAUUCAUAAAAUACCUAAGAGUUAGUAUUAUAAAAUAAAAUAUAAAAUAUAGUAUAAUAUAUAUUAUAAAAUAUAAAAUAUUUAGUAAUUUAUUAUAUUAUAGAAAUUUAUUUUUUAUUCACAUUUUAUAUCCGGUCUACGGCGCAAUUGAUGCGUCGAAAAUUUCUAUUGAAUACGUGGCAUAUUUUUAUUGGCUAAAUGCUACAAUGGAGAGGUGGAAAAAGGAUAUGCGGAGAUGGGAAAAGGCGCCACAUAUACAGAGAAAACCGUCAAAUUAUGUAUUGGUAUGGAUUUGGAAUAUAUAGAUGUUUUGAGGAGAAAUGUCACGUCCAUAUGGAAUAUGGACCCCCGAGUUUUUUAUUUUGACAGCUAAAC